CUCCGUAGCCUACUCCUGAUCUGAAUAAUGAUUCGCGAGCCAUAAUAUUGAAUCGGUUUGUCUGUUCCUGCCAUGUUUACACGACACUGUCAGUAGGCUACUAGCUCGCUAGUUUUAUGACAUUAACUGAAAUAAGCGAAAAAGCAUGAUGUUUACAACUACAAAUAAAAUAUCCAUAAUUCCAUUCCAAAUAUAACAUCCAAUGGAAUCGAAUCGAACAUUUUCAGACAGGAAGUACAUGCUUCCACUUGCUGCUGUCCUGAAUGAAGGUCACACUUGUUACCUCAGUUCUUCCACGAUCAGAGUCUGGGCCGCUGGAGGAUGAAGUUAUGAGCCGAUAUAUCUGGAAGCAGUGGCGCAGACCUCAGAAUGGACCCGUGGAACAGUUAAAGCCCAGUUCCCCCCUCCUGCCACAGGAGUCUUUGUGGAGCCCGUCAGUCAGGUCAUCAGAGAGACAGUCAGCACAGACACGGAGCAGAAGAUUUAUAGCUGUGAGGUGAGAGCAGAAAAACCAACAACAUAUGGGUUUGGAACAACAUGAGGGUGAAUAAAUGAUGACAGAAUUUUCAUUUUUGAGUGAACUGUCCCUUUAAAAACAUCAAGGAAAGACCAGAGAGAUCUUUUGGAAAAAAGUCUGGGUUCUAUUUGUCGCCAUUAACUUUAUCCAUUUGGAAAGAAUGGAAAAUCUUCUCAUGGGACCCUUGGUCACACUCCGGUUCUCCCAUAUAUUUCUGCUGUCUCAAGCAACAAGUCCUUUCACAACGAGCACACAGGAAGAACCAAGGCUAUCCAGAAUGCUGGAAUAGUUUACACCUCCCCGGAGGAGCAUCAUUUAAACAUGGACGGCACUAAUUGCACUCACCCGGGAGAGGAUGGAGAGUAGAACGGAAAGUUUCAAAGACAGAUGUGAAAAGCGAACACCCCUUCAGUAGCUGAGCACAUAAGCCACCAAAUGUUUUUUUUCUUUGAACAUUUAUUUAUUUAUUUAUUUAUUUAUUUUAAUUUUCCUAAUUAUUAUUUGUUUUUAGUGAUUUAAAAAAAUCACCAAAAACAUCAUUUUGGAAGCAUAUUCAUUUUCUUUUCGAAAGUCUUAUUAAUCCCGAUAUCCCAUUUCAGAUGAUCACAAUAACCUUUAGCACUAUUUCAUGGCUGUGGCUUUCCCUAUUUUUAUUUUAUUUUUUUAUUUUAUGUUAUUUUUAUUUUAUUUUAUUUACAAAUUAUUAAAUUGUUUUAAAAUUUAAUAAGUAAUUUUUCAUUAUUGUGACUGAA
This is a long non-coding RNA of Onychostoma macrolepis, 1269 nucleotides long. RefSeq lists it as uncharacterized. The record is from RefSeq and is a predicted model, not a curated record. The transcript has 4 exons. NCBI's taxonomy places the organism in Eukaryota, Metazoa, Chordata, Actinopteri, Cypriniformes, Cyprinidae.